This 447-nucleotide long non-coding RNA is filed under the name Pan troglodytes (chimpanzee). RNAcentral's name for it is "lincRNA". Lineage: Eukaryota; Metazoa; Chordata; Mammalia; Primates; Hominidae. The record is from RNAcentral.
CUAGGCACAAGCAAAUUACACCAUUAAUGUCAUCCUGGCGAAUGAAACAAGAGAAUAGUAUUUAUCAGAGAAAGUCUGGUGAGUUGAAGUCCAAGACCCCAGGAAAAAACUAACCCUGCUGGGCUGCCCCUCCUUCGGAGUGGGACUAUGAUCCUCAUCAGGCCAAUCCACGUCACAGAAUGGUCUAGGCAUUGGAUGAGUGCCUCAAUCUGAGCCAAUGAAGGUCAUUGCUGAGACAUUUUACUGGUUGCCAGGCUGCAGGCAUCCCAGGCUUCCUGCUGCCCUCAUGUCUACAACCUGUCGUCUGGAACAUUCCAGGAGCCACUUUUAUCACUUGCAGCAAUCUUCUUCAGUGAGUUCCCCAGGACUUGAUUUCAUCUUACAAUCUGAUUCCAUGUGUCUCCCAUAUUUUAAGGAUUCUUUAUUAUUUCUGGCUUACAGAGAACA